This is a non-coding RNA of Hortaea werneckii EXF-2000, 104 nucleotides long. The record is from Rfam. Lineage: Eukaryota; Fungi; Ascomycota; Dothideomycetes; Mycosphaerellales; Teratosphaeriaceae.
AGUGUCAUCUGAUGAAGAAUUUUGGAUGUAAAAACAUAUCAGUAUUCCUGAGUGCGCAAAACCGUGCGGAUAAUUUCCAUGUUGCCUUCCUUCUGAUCAGACAC